GAUGAACGCUGGCGGCGUGCCUAACACAUGCAAGUCGAGCGAAGCACUUUACUUGAUUUCUUCGGAUUGAAGGUAUAGUGACUGAGCGGCGGACGGGUGAGUAACGCGUGGGUAACCUGCCUCAUACAGGGGGAUAACAGUUAGAAAUGACUGCUAAUACCGCAUAAGACCACAGCACCGCAUGGUGCGGGGGUAAAAACUCCGGUGGUAUGAGAUGGACCCGCGUCUGAUUAGCUAGUUGGUAAGGUAAGGGCUUACCAAGGCGACGAUCAGUAGCCGACCUGAGAGGGUGACCGGCCACAUUGGGACUGAGACACGGCCCAAACUCCUACGGGAGGCAGCAGUGGGGAAUAUUGCACAAUGGGGGAAACCCUGAUGCAGCGACGCCGCGUGAGUGAUGAAGUAUUUCGGUAUGUAAAGCUCUAUCAGCAGGGAAGAAAAUGACGGUACCUGACUAAGAAGCACCGGCUAAAUACGUGCCAGCAGCCGCGGUAAUACGUAUGGUGCAAGCGUUAUCCGGAUUUACUGGGUGUAAAGGGAGCGUAGACGGAGAGGCAAGUCUGAUGUGAAAACCCGGGGCUCAACCCCGGGACUGCAUUGGAAACUGUUUUUCUAGGGUGUCGGAGAGGCAAGUGGAAUUCCUAGUGUAGCGGUGAAAUGCGUAGAUAUUAGGAGGAACACCAGUGGCGAAGGCGGCUUGCUGGACGAUGACUGACGUUGAGGCUCGAAAGCGUGGGGAGCAAACAGGAUUAGAUACCCUGGUAGUCCACGCCGUAAACGAUGACUACUAGGUGUCGGGUGGCAAAGCCAUUCGGUGCCGCAGCAAACGCAAUAAGUAU
This 839-nucleotide ribosomal RNA is filed under the name uncultured bacterium. RNAcentral describes it as "bacterial SSU rRNA". It matches the Rfam family "Bacterial small subunit ribosomal RNA", at positions 28 to 867 of the family's 1533-position model. The record is from RNAcentral.